This 21-nucleotide non-coding RNA is filed under the name Arabidopsis thaliana (thale cress). Lineage: Eukaryota; Viridiplantae; Streptophyta; Magnoliopsida; Brassicales; Brassicaceae. The record is from RNAcentral.
UCUGUGUUCGUUUGCCUGUCG